This is a long non-coding RNA of Cyprinus carpio carpio, 1556 nucleotides long. Lineage: Eukaryota; Metazoa; Chordata; Actinopteri; Cypriniformes; Cyprinidae. The record is from Ensembl.
GAAGAAUUUUCCAUUCUACUCGUCCUGUACAAUGAUGAUUGUGAAACUGUAAAUCCUAUAGGCUCCAAGACUACAAUUCACAAACUGGGCCUAAUUUACUUUCAGAUCAGAUGUUUACCGCCUGAGCUGUUGUCUUCCUUGUCAGCAUGCUUUCUGUUGGCCGUGUACAAGUCAGAUGACGUCAAGACAUAUGGCAUGGACAUGGUUCUUCAAUGCAUUGUUAAUGAUUUGAAGGAUUUAGAACAAAAUGGAUUACAAGUUGAGACAGAACAAUUUCGUGGCACUGUAAAGUCUCUGGGCCAUAGCCCCAACAACAAUCGAUCAUGUCCCAAUCAGCCUGUAAGGAAUGAACAACCAACACCAACUGAGACAAUAGUGGAAAGCUGCAAGACGAGAACAACAAGCAACUCCACAUUUGAUAUACGAGAAAUACUUAGAAAAUCUGGAGGACCAGCGUUAAUAACAUCCUUAGAAAGGGACAGGCACCUAAGCCUCAAGGAGAGACGUCAGAUGGUGCGGUUGUUGGUUUCUCAUUUGAUGGAAAGAUUUGGGAAAAACCCAACAGCUGAGAUCAAAAAGGAGAUGGCUCUGGCGCUAACUUGCCAGUUUCCUUGUCUGAAAAAUAGUGAGGGACAUGGAUAUGAGGCAUGGUAUACACCUGGUCGUUAUCUUCACCCUGUAACUGGGUAUUUAGAAGAAAGACUGCCAGCCACAGUAAUCUCAGAAUUCCUCUUCUCGACCAAGUUUUCCACUGCCAGAGUCUGAGUUGUCUUUGACUGACAUUCACACAAUGAUUGAGUGGCUAAAGAACAACAGAAGCGCUCACAGUCAAGUGGAGGAGUUCAUGAAACGUACAGCACCCCCAUCGGGCUGCAUGGAUUCGAACUUCUGGAACAAAAACUAUUGAGGAAAUCAACAGAGAAUAUCCUAGACUUUGUGACAUUCCUGGAAUGAUAUCGCAGGACUUUAAAGUUAUAUUCCCUGACCAGGCGGACCGCCUUUAUGAAUUCUGGGCUCCUGUCAUCACUGACCGGAUUUUACUCUUUGCAAAGAAAGAACCCAAGGCUUCAGAUGUUCUUCCAGAAAAUCUGGAAACACUGGCAAUAGGUGUUCGUGCAGAAAUUGCCUUUAAAACCCUUCCUGCCAUCCUGCCAUCUUCACCAUACCGCACAAAUGGAAAAAUGGUGUGCCCAACAUACACAGAAAUGAAGCAGUCCUUCAUUGACAUUCAACCUGUUGGCACUAAUAUAGUGCAGUACUUGAACCACGAGGCAAGCCAGAAUCCACAGGUCCUGGUGCUUGGUGACAAGGAAGACUCUUCCCAAGUUUUUAUUAUUUUCAACGGGGAGGCGAUGGAACAGGAGACACUACUACAAGCAGUCGAUCUGUGUUUCAAACUUUUCUUUGUAUAUGACAUCAACUACCCAAAGCCCUCUGCUCCCAUUUGGGAGUUUUUGGAGCACACAGUCUUUAAUAUUCCAGGUGGAGUUCCUUCUGCACACUGCCUCCUCCUAAAAAACUUUGUAUUUAGUAAUCAGUAAAAAAAAAAAUUAUUU